RNAcentral lists this long non-coding RNA (348 nucleotides) under Homo sapiens (human). RNAcentral's name for it is "non-protein coding lnc-INSC-2:4". Lineage: Eukaryota; Metazoa; Chordata; Mammalia; Primates; Hominidae. The record is from RNAcentral.
AGCAAGACAGAGCCCCAAUUGCUCAUCAUGAGCAGAUCCUCAAACACAGCCUGCAUCUCUCCCUGCUCCCCUCCCACCCUCCAGUUUUCCAGCCAGAGGCAUUUGCUCUAAGGCCCAGGCUGUGGCCCACCUAUCACCGCUACCCAAGUAGUACAGGAAAAGGAAAUUUGAAGAGGAAAAGAGGCACCAGGGAUGAGGACACACCGAGAAAAGACCAUGUGAAGACAUGGCGAGAAGACAGCCAGCUGCAAGCCAAGGAGUGAGGCCUCAGAAGAAACCAACCCUGCCGACACCUUGACCUUGGACUUCUAGUCUCUAGAAUUAUGCGAAAAUAAAUUCCUGUUGUUU